AAGGAUGAAGGCCUUCUGGGUUGUAACUUCUUUUACCUGGGAAGAAACCUACUUUUUCUUAAGAGUGUUGACGGUACCAGAGGAAUAAGCACCGGCUAACUCCGUGC
RNAcentral lists this ribosomal RNA (107 nucleotides) under uncultured bacterium. Its description in RNAcentral is "partial 16S ribosomal RNA". The record is from RNAcentral.